Long non-coding RNA from Zophobas morio, 959 nucleotides. RefSeq lists it as uncharacterized. The record is from RefSeq and is a predicted model, not a curated record. Lineage: Eukaryota; Metazoa; Arthropoda; Insecta; Coleoptera; Tenebrionidae. The transcript is spliced from 5 exons.
AUUUCCUUCUUCAACCAAAGACAAUGAGUUAUUCUGCAAAGUGUGUGGAAAAGUUGUAGUUUAACUGCGAAAAAAAAAUCACACUUUGAACAACACUGCAGUGGCGAUGCACAUAAAAAGAACGAGAAUAAAUCCAGUAAACAUACUUUAUUAAACAUUUGUUCCGACAAUGAUUUUACGAAAUUUUGCACCGAUUUAUGUAGGGCAUUUACCGCAGCAAAUAUUCCAUGGAAUAAAGUUAGUUGUCCUGAGUUUAAAAAUUUUAUGCAUAAAUAUACAGGAAGGCAUUUACCCUCAGAAAACACUGUGAGAAAACAUUAUUUACCAAAAGAUUACGAUAUGGUAACUAAACAAAUUAGAAAUUCUGUUGGCAAUAAUGAUAUAUGGAUUAGCGUCGAUGAGAGGAGGGACAGAUUAGGAAGAUGCAUAGCCCAUUUAAUAAUUGGAAAGUUAUCUUCUGAAGAAGCUGGCCGUCCAUUUCUACUAGCUUUGAAGCAGCUUGAUAAAACUAAUAGCAACACAAUCUCGAGAUUUAUAAACGAAUCAUUGGCUUUAUUGUGGCCAAAAGGAACUGAACAUAAAAAAGUUAAAUGGUUUGGAUCAGAUGGUGCUUCAUACAUGAUCAAAACUGGUACUAAUUUGAAGGUGUUUUAUGAAAAUAUAACACACUUAACAUGUAUGGCAAAUGGGUUACAUUUAAUGUCUGAAACAAUUAGACUGUAAAAGUACUAAUAAGAGUAGAAUUUUAUAAAAACAGUUUACCAAAUACACCUCUCCCACCUGAACCUGUAUUAACCAGGUGGGGCACUUGGAUUCAAGCAGCACUUUUUUAUGCAGAACAAUUUGAUGUUUUAAAACAAGUUGUAUUGUCAUUUGAAGCCACAGAUGCACAAAGCAUUAAAAAAACUCAAGAAUUCCUGAAUAAAGCAAACGUUAAAAAUGAACUCUUGUACAUUAAA